AGGCUAGUGAAAGAAACCCACGUGACCGGUAUGGCAAAUUGAGGCGCCAUCUGUCGACUGGGAUCAGAGUUAAAAUCUGCGUUCCGUCUCUUUCCUCCCAACUCUCUUCAACCCCCUCUCUGGCGGGAUCAACUCCCUUUCCUGCGGGAGGCGCGCUUUCCGCCGCCUUGCUGGCGCCGCCGACUUUGAAAUCCGUUAGAAAGUUUCGUGUCUGGCGUUGGUAAGGCGUGCGUUAGCCGUCGUCGCUCGUCCGUUUCAUGGUGCUCGCUCGCUGUGUGCUUGUGCGACGCGAUGUUUUACGACUCGCGCUGUUCGUGCAUAGUGCUUUGUUGCUUGAAUACUUCCAGAACAAGUCCCGGAAUAUAUGUGCCGGCCCCCAAAAGAACGACAGGGCGUAUUUCGGAACGCAACACAGCUGAUCGGUGCGCCCAGAGAAAAGCUGAAGAAUUGCAGAAUCGGCGCACUUCAAGAAGAGAUGCCAUGAAUCAUCCGAUAUCAGCCGUUUAUUUUCUCCGCGUUUAUCAUCACUAGUUAUAUGAAAAUCAACGUUUUUGGAAAUGUAGUCAAUAAAGUGCGGCCAAUAUUA
Molecule: long non-coding RNA, 586 nt
Organism: Rhipicephalus sanguineus (brown dog tick)
Lineage: Eukaryota; Metazoa; Arthropoda; Arachnida; Ixodida; Ixodidae
Exons: 2
Source: RefSeq, a predicted model, not a curated record